This 431-nucleotide ribosomal RNA is filed under the name uncultured bacterium. RNAcentral's name for it is "partial 16S ribosomal RNA". It matches the Rfam family "Bacterial small subunit ribosomal RNA", at positions 338 to 795 of the family's 1533-position model. The record is from RNAcentral.
CCUACGGGAGGCAGCAGUGGGGAAUCUUGCGCAAUGGCCGAAAGGCUGACGCAGCGACGCCGCGUGUGGGAUGAAGGUCUUCGGAUUGUAAACCACUGUCGGGGGGGACGCGGUACCCCCAAAGGAAGCACCGGCUAACUCUGUGCCAGCAGCCGCGGUAAUACAGAGGGUGCGAGCGUUGUCCGGAAUCACUGGGCGUAAAGGGCGCGUAGGUGGCCCGAUAAGUCGGGGGUGAAACGCUGCGGCUCAACCGCAGCACUGCCUUCGAGACUGUCAGGCUUGAGCACGGUAGAGGCUGGUGGAAUUCCCGGUGUAGCGGUGGAAUGCGUAGAGAUCGGGAAGAACAUCGGUGGCGAAGGCGGCCAGCUGGCCUUGCUGACACUGAGGCGCGACAGCGUGGGGAGCAAACAGGAUUAGAUACCCUUGUAGUC